This 688-nucleotide ribosomal RNA is filed under the name fungal sp. Its description in RNAcentral is "SSU rRNA". It matches the Rfam family "Eukaryotic small subunit ribosomal RNA", at positions 412 to 1105 of the family's 1831-position model. Lineage: Eukaryota; Fungi. The record is from RNAcentral.
ACAUCCAAGGAAGGCAGCAGGCGCGCAAAUUACCCAAUCCCGACACGGGGAGGUAGUGACAAUAAAUACUGAUACAGGGCUCUUUUGGGUCUUGUAAUUGGAAUGAGUACAAUUUAAAUCCCUUAACGAGGAACAAUUGGAGGGCAAGUCUGGUGCCAGCAGCCGCGGUAAUUCCAGCUCCAAUAGCGUAUAUUAAAGUUGUUGCAGUUAAAAAGCUCGUAGUUGAACCUUGGGCCUGGCUGGCCGGUCCGCCUCACCGCGUGUACUGGUCCGGCCGGGCCUUUCCUUCUGGGGAACCUCAUGCCCUUCACUGGGCGUGUUGGGGAACCAGGACUUUUACUUUGAAAAAAUUAGAGUGUUCAAAGCAGGCCUUUGCUCGAAUACAUUAGCAUGGAAUAAUAGAAUAGGACGUGUGGUUCUAUUUUGUUGGUUUCUAGGACGCCGUAAUGAUUAAUAGGGAUAGUCGGGGGCAUCAGUAUUCAAUCGUCAGAGGUGAAAUUCUUGGAUUGAUUGAAGACUAACUACUGCGAAAGCAUUUGCCAAGGAUGUUUUCAUUAAUCAGUGAACGAAAGUUAGGGGAUCGAAGACGAUCAGAUACCGUCGUAGUCUUAACCAUAAACUAUGCCGACUAGGGAUCGGACGGUGUUAGUAUUUUGACCCGUUCGGCACCUUACGAGAAAUCAAAGUU